RNAcentral lists this ribosomal RNA (504 nucleotides) under uncultured bacterium. Its description in RNAcentral is "bacterial SSU rRNA". It matches the Rfam family "Bacterial small subunit ribosomal RNA", at positions 791 to 1301 of the family's 1533-position model. The record is from RNAcentral.
UAGUCCACGCCGUAAACGAUGGAUACUAGUUGUUUGAGAUUUAUCUUGAGUGACUAAGCGAAAGUGAUAAGUAUCCCACCUGGGGAGUACGUUCGCAAGAAUGAAACUCAAAGGAAUUGACGGGGGCCCGCACAAGCGGUGGAGCAUGUGGUUUAAUUCGAUGAUACGCGAGGAACCUUACCAGGGCUUAAAUGUAAGUUGCGUGAUUUAGAGAUAGAUCUUUCUCCGGACUACUUACAAGGUGCUGCAUGGUUGUCGUCAGCUCGUGCCGUGAGGUGUCAGGUUAAGUCCUAUAACGAGCGCAACCCCUAUCGUUAGUUGCUAACAGGUUAAGCUGAGGACUCUAAUAAGACUGCCGGUGCAAACCGCGAGGAAGGUGGGGAUGACGUCAAAUCAUCACGGCCCUUACGUCCUGGGCCACACACGUGCUACAAUGGUAGGUACAGAGAGCAGCCACUGCGUGAGCAGGAGCGAAUCUAUAAAACCUAUCUCAGUUCGGAUCGG